AUACGGAGGGGGCUAGCGUUGUUCGGAAUUACUGGGCGUAAAGCGCACGUAGGCGGACUGGUCAGUUGGGGGUGAAAUCCCAGGGCUUAACCCUGGAACUGCCUUCAAUACUACCAGUCUUGAGACCGAGAGAGGUGAGUGGAAUUCCUAGUGUAGAGGUGAAAUUCGUAGAUAUUAGGAAGAACACCAGUGGCGAAGGCGGCUCACUGGCUCGGUACUGACGCUGAGGUGCGAAAGCGUGGGGAGCAAACAGGAUUAGAUACCCCAGUAGUCC
This 274-nucleotide ribosomal RNA is filed under the name uncultured bacterium. Its description in RNAcentral is "partial 16S ribosomal RNA". It matches the Rfam family "Bacterial small subunit ribosomal RNA", at positions 523 to 796 of the family's 1533-position model. The record is from RNAcentral.